Vigna unguiculata (cowpea) is the source of this 747-nucleotide long non-coding RNA. The record is from RefSeq and is a predicted model, not a curated record. NCBI's taxonomy places the organism in Eukaryota, Viridiplantae, Streptophyta, Magnoliopsida, Fabales, Fabaceae.
CAAAUGUGUUGGAUCGAGGUUUUUGUCUAAGAUCUACUGUUGUAUGGAUUUGUUAUUCUCAAAUCUACUUUUGUUUUGGUUGAUUUUUUCCUCUGAUAUUCUUGAGCACCUUCACGAGACUUAAAAUAAGGUAACCACUUCUCAUUUUAUUGUUCUUCUACCAUGUUCUCAGAUCUACUUUUCUUUUGGUACGAGAUGUGUUAGAUUUGGGUUUUUCUCUCAGAUCUAUUUCUCUUUUGAAUGGUUUCGUUGCUCUCAGAUUUUCUUUUCCAUGUAUACUGUUCGAUGGAUUGUUUUUCUCAGAUCUACCUUUAUUUUGGUUGAUGUUUUGCUAUGAGAACCUUGAGCAACUUGACGAAUACAAAAAAGGUAACAAGAAUUCUGUUUUUUUUUCGUUCUUCUACCAUCUUCGACUUUUUUCUCUCAGAUCUAUUUCUCUUUGAAUGGUUUCUUUGCUCUCAGAUUUUCUUUUCCAUGUAUAUUGUUCAAUGGAUUUUUUCUUCUUAGAUCUACCUUUAUUUUGGUUGAUGUUUUUCUCUGAGAACCUUGAGCAACUUGACGAAUACAAAAAAGGUUGAAUCUUUGAACCUUUCACUCUUUGACUACGACAAUAAAGGUGGAUCAAAUCAAAUAUUUGAAGAACAUAGUAAAGGUUGAAUCUUUCAACCUUUAACUAUUUGACGACGACAAUAAAGGUACGUAAGUUUUAUACUUUGGUAAGUUUUAUACUUUGGCUGAUAUUCUCUU